GACGAACGCUGGCGGCGUGCUUAACACAUGCAAGUCGAACGGUGAAGCGCCUUCCUUUUUGGUGGGUGUGGAUGAGUGGCGAACGGGUGAGUAACACGUGAGUAACCUGCCCCCUUCUUCUGGAUAACCGCAUGAAAGUGUGGCUAAUACGGGAUAUUCUGGGUCUGUCGCAUGAUGGGUCUGGGAAAGAUAUUGUUUCGGUGGGGGAUGGGCUCGCGGCCUAUCAGCUUGUUGGUGUGGUGAUGGCCUACCAAGGCGGUGACGGGUAGCCGGCCUGGGAGGGUGGACGACAACACGGGGACGGAGACACGGCACAGACUACUACGGGCGGCAGCAGGGGGGAAUAUUGCACAAUGGGCGCAAGCCUGAUGCAGCGACGCCGGGUGAGGGAUGGAGGCCGUCGGGUUGUGAACCUCUUUCGCCAGUGAAGCAGGCCUGCCUCGUUUGUGGGUGGGUUGACGGUAGCUGGAUAAGAAGCGCCGGCUAACUACGUG
Molecule: ribosomal RNA, 494 nt
Filed under: uncultured bacterium
Lineage: Bacteria
Description: partial 16S ribosomal RNA
Rfam family: Bacterial small subunit ribosomal RNA
Source: RNAcentral